This 177-nucleotide ribosomal RNA is filed under the name Aspergillus pragensis. RNAcentral's name for it is "partial 28S ribosomal RNA". It matches the Rfam family "Eukaryotic large subunit ribosomal RNA", at positions 1 to 176 of the family's 3401-position model. Lineage: Eukaryota; Fungi; Ascomycota; Eurotiomycetes; Eurotiales; Aspergillaceae. The record is from RNAcentral.
UUGACCUCGGAUCAGGUAGGGAUACCCGCUGAACUUAAGCAUAUCAAUAAGCGGAGGAAAAGAAACCAACCGGGAUUGCCUCAGUAACGGCGAGUGAAGCGGCAAGAGCUCAAAUUUGAAAGCUGGCUCCUUCGGGGUCCGCAUUGUAAUUUGCAGAGGAUGCUUCGGGUGCGGCCC